CAGGCGCGGCUGGCGGCGGCGGCGGCCGGGAGAGGAGGAGGCUGCGCGGGGGCAGCGGGCGCGUUGGGCGAGCAGGGGAAGCCGGGCACGGCAGCCCAGAGUCUUCUAGGAUGUGACCGUGGAGCGUCUGUCACUGUCAGGGCUCCUUAGAAGGCCCAGAGAGCCCUGCGAUGUCACCAUGGAAGCCGUGUGAGUGCAACCUUCGACACCCUCAGAAUGUCACCGUAGAGCCGCUGUGAGUGCCUGUGACAUUACAGCUUUUCAGCAGCGUGGAGACACCUAGGAUGUCACUGUGGAACCCCUGUGAGAGCCUGUGACAUCACGUCUGCUCAGCAGCCUGGAGACACCUGUUAUGUUGCCAUUGAGACCCUGUGACAGCGUGUGAAGUCAGUGCAGUUUGGCAGAUGGGAGACUCCUGGGAUGUCGCCAUGGAACCCCUGGGAUUGCCUGUGACCUCAGUGUUCUUUAGGAGCAUAGAGACCACUGGGAUGUCACCACAGAACCUCAGUGAGUGCCUGUGCCAAAUGGGCUCCUGAGCACAUAGAGACCGUAGUGUUCUCACCAUGCAGCCACUGUGACUGUCCGUGACCUCUCAAGUCUGUGGAAGAUUUAAGAGCCCUGGCAUGUCACCAUGGAGGCCCUGUGACCUCACUUCUCUUUAGCAGCCCAGAGAGACUUGAGAUGUCAGCGUGGAUGCCUGUCUGUGAUCUCUCUACUUUUGAGCAGGCUGGAGACAACUCUGAUGUCACCAUGGGCUGGUGGUUCAGGGAGGUAAGGGUGGGGGGAGGAACAUGUGCUAGGGCUCACUGGGACCUGCUCAGGCACUGAGUCGGCAGGGACCACAGCGGUACCCAGGCCUGGGAAACACUCCUGUCUCCCACUGGCCAAGUCUGGUCACAGGAAGCAGGUGUGCCCUCCACUGGGAUGAGAUGCCACAUCUCCCCACUGGAACAGGGGACUAGGUGUACCCCGUGUCCCCAGCAUGCCAAGUGUGGUCACGGAAGGCCAGGUCUCCCCACUGGGGUCUCAGACACGGUCUGCCUGCUGCCGGCAUGGGGAGCCUUCCCUCCUCUACCCGGGAGGCCAGGUGUGCUCACCAGAACAAUCAGAGUAGUGGUAUUUCACCGAUGGCUGGGACACCAGUGGGCGGGUCACCCAACACUGCCAAGUGUGCACCACGCCUCCCACUUAUUCCACACCUCUCAUGUCUCGUCGGAGCGCCAGAGCAGAGUCAAGCUCAACAGGGUCUUCUUUUCCGUGUUGCUUCUGCCAAGCCUGUUCCCUUGGCUGUGGUUUCUCUGGAUAGUAAGUAGGGACAGUGGGAAUCUCAUUGAUCCGUUCAUUCACAUCACUAAUUAGAUGAUGAGGCAUUUGGCUAUUUACUGAGCAUUUAUUUUCAUAUAUGUUCCUUUUCUGGGUUAAGUAUAGGUGGCCCAUCCACCAUGGUCCAAAUCAGUAGAAUUUAGUCUCAAAAGUAGGUGAAACACAAUGCUACAUCCUUGGAAGAAUUGUGUCAUUCCCACUGUCCUUAUGUACCAUCAGGAUUUAACUUUUUUUUUUAAAUUAGCAUAAGCAAUAACGACUCUAUGCAACCGAGCCAGUCUUGCUUGCAAAGAUAUGAACAAUAUCAGCUGAGGUGAGGAGUGCUCUGGAGGCCAGGGCCCAGGCAGUCUUCUCCCGCCUUGUUUUGGAGAGACCCAGGGCCUCUAGGAGCUCAUUUGUUCCAUAGAACCACUUGCGCCACUCUCCAGCGGGAAAGCCCCCAAACUUGGUAUCUCCUGCAUUGGUGAGUUCCUGAAUGUGUUCAUGAAGAUGUUGAUAUUUUCUCACUUUUCCAGUUGCAGCUUCCUGUAAAGAUGCUUCAGUGCAUUCACAUUUGAUUGUCACCUCCAUCACCAAUGCCUGUUUUUCUCUUACAAAGAUCAGGUCUGGUUUGUACAUUUUGCCGUUGUCAUCCCUCACAUGUGGCUCUUGUAACACUGUCCAAUCCUCCUUUGUAGCUUUGUUGAUCAACAUGUCACAGAUGUAGUUGUGUCUUUUAAUCCUGCCAUUUUGUGUUACUGCACAGUUUCCGAUGAUGUGGGAGCACGUUUCAUUUUCAGCCUUGCAGUGCCUGCAGCUUUUGGCACACUGAUCUUGUCUUCCUCUUGCCAGGAAGAAGCUCUCUUGUGGUGUAGACAAUUGGCUCUCAGCUGCAAUGCUGUUAUUACUUUUCUGUGAGGUAUGCCUCUGUAUCUAAAGAUCCAGAAAUUGCUGAUGUUAUCCUCCUCAAAGUUUGUAAUACUAGGGCCCUGGGAUACCAGCUGUUUCCCUUUAGUAAAUUCCUGUUUCCUCCGGUUACAUGGUCGCAGAUACUGAGUUUUCAGAGUAGCUACUUCCCAUUCUGAUGUUGUUUCAUCACCUGCACCAUCCAGCAGUUCUGUCUUAGGUUUAGGCUCCCAUAUGGACAGGAUCUUUUCUUUAUCUCCUCCAGCUGUUAUCCGUAAUUUCCUGUAGAUUUGAUCGGAGCAUUCUUCUUUCAGGAACAAUCUUAAGGCAUCAUCCGACAAUUGGGCAAGUCGACGUAAUCUUUGGGCCUGUAUACUUGGAUUGAGGCCCAUCAAUUUGGUGAUACCCAAACCUCCAUCCUUCAUGCUGGAGUACAGGACGGCAUCAUGUGUGCAUGGUGUUAAGUGUAGCCAUUCCUUGACAGUCGAUUGAAUUUGUAGGUCAGGGGAUUCAAGGAGCCCUGCUUUGCAUCCUUGUGGUCUGCCAAGUAUAUUAGUGUAGGAAUGGUGUCUAUUUGUUUGGAAUGUCCAUUUUCUGAACAGGUUUUAAUGUGAUGAUAUGUAUGGAUGUUCUCAUACAUAUUGCUCACCAGUCUGGUGACAUGGGGGUCCGCUUCUCUGUGCUGCAGAUCAUGUAGAAUGUGCUGGUAGCUCACGGUGUCAAAAGCCUUAGCAAUGCCCAUGAAUACGACACCCAGCGGUCUGUAGUCUCUUUUGGCAGAUGGAAUUAUUGUUCGUAGGAGUUUCCAGUUUUCAGAGGAUUCCGCUGCUCUUAUAAAGCCACUUUGCCUUGGGUUGAGGGAGCAUGCCUUAGUCAACCUUGCUCUCAUUAUUCUGGAGAACAGUCUUAACGAGAUGGAAUCGAUUGUGAUGGGUCUCCAGUUAUCAGUGUCCUUUAAACAAUCCGGUUUGGCUGACUUUGGUAUUAACACAGUCCUGCAUCCCCUCACCAUGUCUGGGAUUUUUAUCUGAUGUUAACCAAAGGUUGACUAUCUCCAUGGUCUGGGAGAACUUGGGGUCCAUCAUCUUGUGGUCCCUUAGGGUAAUCCCAUCUGGACCAGGAGCCAAAUUUUUGCUAAUUUCCUGCACAUUCUUCUCAAUUUCUUUAGCCAUAAUUAAGUCCCUGAAAGCGCUGUUGUCAGCUUUCCCUUUAAUUUGGAAGUUCCCAAGGCUCUUGAACUUACCAGGUGUUUCCCAUCUGGCUUUAAAUGCUGAAUAAAUUUCGCGGGGUGGCAUGUCACAGGACAAACAUUCAACAUCAUCCAGAGUAAUCUUGGCUAAUUUCCCCCUAUCUAGAUGGAACAGGCACUGGAAGUGCAGGUAAUUACCUCUCUUGAUUGCUCCCUGACAGGUCUUCUUGAGUUUCUUUCCUGGGUCUUCCUUUUGUUCUUAUCUUGGGUUGAUGUUCUUAUCUGGCUUAUCAUAUGGAGGCAUCCCGAAGCAGUCCUGCCCUGACUCAUUAACCAGUGAUGUCAUCUCGUGGCCAUGAAGUAACUGCUGGAAUGCCUGUGGGAAGGUGUUGAGUUUCCCAGCUGAAAGCCAUUCACCCAGAGUUCUCUGCUAAUGGGCCUGCAGCUGCCUCUCCCUCUCUGGUUGAUGUUCCCCAGCUAUUCUCCUCAUUAUCUGUGUGAUGACUCAUCCCAGGUUCUGUUCCCAUGCCCACAGCUGGUUCCUCGGGCAGCAAUCUCCUUUUGUCACUGAUUUGCUUUGCUGUCUUGGAUGGAAUGUGUUUGGCUAAGAGUUUAUUGAUGUUUUUGUUUUGCCAAAACUGAGCCUCUAACCUUAGCAGCAGAUGUUCUUCCUCCUUGGUUCAACACCUUUUGUGAGCUCCUCGGCCAGAGGUCUCAUUUGAGUGGGAAGCAACAAUCCUUUCCUGAUUUCUGACAAUCGGGUGUGCCAAUCUUUUGUGUUGUCCCAGGCCGAUUUUUGUUUUGAAGUCACGGCUGCAAACCUCACAGAUCCACUGCCCUGCUGGAGCUGUUUCAGCUGUUGCCCUGCAUUUAGGAAAAGGACUAGCAGUAGUUACUGAUAGUUACUGUUUUCCCUCCCUCAUGUGGCACAUUGAAACCGAAUCCUCCUUUUCCUGUGGGCCCCUUUCAGGUGUUUAAUUAAGCCCAACACAUGGUCCACCCGGGUUCCACAGCAUGGACAUGGUGGAUUUUUGUCGGGAAUCAUCACUGUUGGAAUGUCCUCCGGUGUCCGAUUCACGCUGUUCCCUGGGACGGGUGGGGAUUUUGCUGGCGUGUUGUUCUCUGGCUCGGGAGGCGAUGUUUCUGAUGUGCUUUCUGUCUUUUCCUCGCUGCUUUUUUCCCCAUUGUUAAGUACAAACAACUUGUUGGUCUUAAGGAGACAGCUGUCUUCUCCAGCACUCAGAUGAGGUGUAAGACGUUUGUACACCUCUGGCAGCCUGUUCAAACCCUCCCAACUUGUGGAAAAAUGAACACAUUUAUUCGUUUCAGACACUCCCUAGUUAUAAAACUCCAACACCACCAGUUCAUUUUCAUUUUCCACCAAAUCUUGGGGGGCAGAUGGUAAAUUUGCAGACAACAGGUCUCCUUCAGUGUUAGACAAGGGGUCUAGUUUUAAAUUGCUAGGCCCCAGUCUACCCAGUCAGAAGGGCUGGUCUGGGUGCUGGUCAAUACCUGGAAUAAGCGUAUCGAUGGCCCCAUUUUACGGAUCCGGAAUUUUAGUUUGUAGCAAAUUAAGGAGAGGAAGUAUUAGAUUGGUGGUGGACCCCCAACCACUUGCUGAUCUUUGGCCAGCACAAACCCGUGGGCUAGGUUUUGGGUAAAAAGCUCCACAGCUCUUACCUUAAAUUUGUUUCACCGAUUUUGGGACUAUUGUUGGCUGAUGAUU
Molecule: long non-coding RNA, 5123 nt
Organism: Corvus hawaiiensis (hawaiian crow)
Lineage: Eukaryota; Metazoa; Chordata; Aves; Passeriformes; Corvidae
Exons: 3
Source: RefSeq, a predicted model, not a curated record